Molecule: non-coding RNA, 71 nt
Filed under: unclassified sequences
Source: RNAcentral
CCCCCGCGGAGGCGCCACCUCUACGCGGUGCGGGGGGAGCAACUCACUUUGAAAGUGAGGCGAAGGGCGCC